AUUGAACGCUGGCGGCAUGCCUUACACAUGCAAGUCGAACGGUAACGCGGGGCAACCUGGCGACGAGUGGCGAACGGGUGAGUAAUACAUCGGAACGUGCCCAGUAGUGGGGGAUAGCCCGGCGAAAGCCGGAUUAAUACCGCAUACGACCUAUGGGUGAAAGCGGGGGAGUCGCAAGACCUCGCGCUAUUGGAGCGGCCGAUGUCAGAUUAGGUAGUUGGUGGGGUAAAAGCCUACCAAGCCGACGAUCUGUAGCUGGUCUGAGAGGACGACCAGCCACACUGGGACUGAGACACGGCCCAGACUCCUACGGGAGGGCAGCAGUGGGGAAGUUUUGGUACAAUGGGCGCAAGCCUGAUCCAGCCAUGCCGCGUGCGGGAAGAAGGCC
RNAcentral lists this ribosomal RNA (388 nucleotides) under uncultured bacterium. RNAcentral's name for it is "bacterial SSU rRNA". It matches the Rfam family "Bacterial small subunit ribosomal RNA", at positions 29 to 416 of the family's 1533-position model. The record is from RNAcentral.